AUUUAUUAGUACAAAAUCAAUCGGGCUUGCCCGUCUAUUGGUGAAUCUGAAUAACUUUGCCGAUCACACGGUCUUCGCACCGGCGAUGUAUCUUUCAAGUGUCUGCCCUAUCAACUGUCGAUGGUAGUUUAUGUGACUACCAUGGUUAUAACGGGUAACGGAGAAUAAGGGUUCGACUCCGGAGAAGCAGCCUGAGAAACGGCUACUACAUCCAAGGAAGGCAGCAGGCGCGCAAAUUACCCACUCUCAGACCGAGGAGGUAGUGACGAAAAAUAACGAGGCGGUGCCACAUUGUGGCUCGCUAUCGGAAUGAGAACAAUUCAAAUCCUUUAACGAGGAUCUAGCAGUGGGCAAGUCUGGUGCCAGCAGCCGCGGUAAUUCCAGCACUGCUAGUGUAUACCACGAGUACUGCGGUUAAAAAGCUCGUAGUUGGAUCUGCGGCUAUGGAUUCCGGUCCGCCCAACGGGUGUGAACUGGUGAUCCGAGCCUCUCUGUUGGUUUACUGCUGAUGCACUUAAUUGGGCGUCGGUAGUUGCCUGCGAUUUUACUUUGAAAAAAUUGGAGUGCUCAAAACAG
Molecule: ribosomal RNA, 576 nt
Filed under: uncultured eukaryote
Lineage: Eukaryota
Description: bacterial SSU rRNA
Rfam family: Eukaryotic small subunit ribosomal RNA
Source: RNAcentral